RNAcentral lists this ribosomal RNA (253 nucleotides) under uncultured bacterium. RNAcentral's name for it is "partial 16S ribosomal RNA". It matches the Rfam family "Bacterial small subunit ribosomal RNA", at positions 524 to 776 of the family's 1533-position model. The record is from RNAcentral.
UACGGAGGGUGCAAACGUUGCUCGGAAUCAUUGGGCGUAAAGCGCACGUAGGCGGCUCGUUAAGUCGGAUGUGAAAGCCCUCGGCUCAACCGAGGAAGUGCAUACGAAACUGGCGAGCUUGAAUAUGGAAGAGGGUCGCGGAAUUCCCGGUGUAGAGGUGAAAUUCGUAGAUAUCGGGAGGAACACCUAUUGCGAAGGCAGCUCGCUGGGACGUAACUGACGCUGAGACGCGAAAGCGUGGGGAGCAAACAGG